This 740-nucleotide ribosomal RNA is filed under the name uncultured bacterium. RNAcentral's name for it is "bacterial SSU rRNA". It matches the Rfam family "Bacterial small subunit ribosomal RNA", at positions 31 to 762 of the family's 1533-position model. The record is from RNAcentral.
GAACGCUGGCGGUAUGCUUAACACAUGCAAGUCGAACGGCAGCAUAGAUAGUUUACUAUCUGAUGGCGAGUGGCGGACGGGUGAGUAAAGCGUAGGGAUCUGCCUUUUAGUGGGGGACAACCCGGGGAAACUCGGGCUAAUACCGCAUAAUGUCUACGGACCAAAGCAUGGGACCUUCGGGCCAUGUACUAAGAGAUGAACCUACGUUGGAUUAGCUAGUAGGUGAGGUAAAGGCUCACCUAGGCGACGAUCCAUAGCUGGUCUGAGAGGAUGAUCAGCCACACUGGGACUGAGACACGGCCCAGACUCCUACGGGAGGCAGCAGUGGGGAAUAUUGGACAAUGGGCGCAAGCCUGAUCCAGCAAUACCGCGUGUGUGAAGAAGGCCUUCGGGUUGUAAAGCACUUUCAAUAGGGAGGAAGGCUUAAUGGUUAAUAGCCAUUAGGAUUGACGUUACCUAUAGAAGAAGCACCGGCUAACUCUGUGCCAGCAGCCGCGGUAAUACAGAGGGUGCGAGCGUUAAUCGGAAUUACUGGGCGUAAAGGGCUCGUAGGUUGAUAGUUAAGUUUUAUGUGAAAUCCCAGGGCUUAACCUUGGCAUUGCAUAGGAUACUGGCUAACUAGAGUACAGUAGAGGGGAGUGGAAUUUCCGGUGUAGCGGUGAAAUGCAUAGAGAUCGGAAGGAACACCAGUGGCGAAGGCGACUUUCUGGACUGAUACUGACACUGAGGAGCGAAAGCGU